Molecule: RNA transcript, 2311 nt
Organism: Salvelinus sp. IW2-2015
Lineage: Eukaryota; Metazoa; Chordata; Actinopteri; Salmoniformes; Salmonidae
Gene name: CUGBP Elav-like family member 3
Source: RefSeq, a predicted model, not a curated record
GGCUUACGACGUCAAAUGCAACUAAGUAGACAGACAGAGAGCCAGCCAAUGCGCGCGAGCGAGCGGCAGCAAUAGCCUCCCAUUUCCUGUGUUGGAUCAUAGGGAGUCUAUUCUUAUAACCACCAACCGCUUGAAUAAUCGCAGAGGUUGUCGUUAUUAUAUAAAAUCCUAAUUUGUGUGUAUUUAAUGUGGUAAACAGGAUUUGUACACAAAUAACACCCACACAAAACUACUGGGGAAAGCAUCACAUGCUCAUGUUUAUAGAUGAAGAAGGACGUCGCUCGAUUUGUUACGUGCGCUCUUUUGGGGGUAACUUGUCAAGGCACGGAUUCAGAGGGGUCCUACAUUAGACAAAUGAAUUGAACUGGAGAAUAGACACAAACCGAAAAGAAACCCUAUUUGAUAGGGAACAGAGGAGAAAGGGGGGAUUCAGCUAGCAACGAACCUUAAGAAGAAGGAGGAUCAUAGAGAAAUAGACCGAGUUGAAGCRUUUGCCCGUCAUCUCUAACUCGCCCAAAGAGCUAUAGGCUCUUCCUGCUCCCUGCUCUCACCACCUUUUCAGUGUCCAUCCUCGGUGCGCAACGGGUAGCCCCAAUCCCACACCGUCUCAAUGAAGGAGGCCGAUGCAAUCAAGCUCUUCAUCGGGCAGAUACCCCGAAAUCUUGAGGAGAAGGACUUGAAACCCAUCUUUGAACAGUUCGGGAAGAUCUAUGAGUUGACGGUGAUAAAGGACAAAUACACAGGGAUGCACAAAGGCUGUGCCUUCCUGACAUACUGCGAACGAGAGUCUGCACUCAAAGCCCAGAAUGCACUGCACGAGCAGAAGACGCUACCAGGGAUGAACCGGCCCAUUCAAGUGAAGCCAGCAGACAGCGAGGGCAGAGGGGAAGACKGGAAGCUGUUUGCUGGCAUGCUGGGGAAGCAGCAGUCGGAUGCUGACGUGAGGAAGAUGUUUGAGGCGUUUGGGAGCAUUGAAGAGUGCACAGUGCUCCGCGGGCCUGACGGCACUAGCAAAGGCUGUGCCUUUGUGAAGUACCAGAACAACGCAGAGGCUGCGGCAGCCAUCAGCACUCUGCAUGGGAGCCGCACUCUACCGGGUGCCUCCUCCAGCCUGGUGGUGAAGUUCGCCGACUCUGAGAAAGAGCGAGGGAUAAGGCGCAUGCAGCAGGUGGCGUCCCAGCUGGGGGUCAUCAGUCCCAUGACCUUACACCUCGGGGCUUACAAUGCCUACACACAGGUACUGGUGCAGCAGCAGGCUCUGGUGGCCCAGUCYGCGUAUUUGUCUCCUGUAUCCACCAUCACCAUGCAGCAGUUGGSUGCCCUCAACCCCAGCAGCCUCAUUGCCACGCCCAUCGCAUCACUCACUACCUCAGGUACCAGCACUCCGCCCACCAUGGCAGCCACACCGGUGCCUGCUCUGCCUCCACCACUCAGCUACCCUCCAGUGCCAGCUCCACCCAAUGGACAGUCAGCAUCUGAAACCCUGUACACCAAUGGAGUUCAUUCUUACCAAGCUCAGAGUCCAAUUUUGGAUCCUAUUCAGCAAGCGUACGCAGGGAUGCAGCACUACACAGGUGGGACAGUAGUGAGUCCGUUUGAGUCCUUAAAAUUUCCCCGAGGAAAUUUUAGGUUUGAAAUGCCCUCUCAACAGUCCUUAAUGUUUCCGUAUGCGAACACACCCACAGCAACCUACCCUGCUGCCUAUGGAAUGGUGGGGCAGCCAUUCCCACACCAACACACAAUGCUUGCACAGCAACAUCAGCAGCCUCAGCAACUGCAGCAACGAGAAGGGCCCGAGGGGUGUAACAUCUUCAUCUAUCACCUGCCUCAGGAGUUCUCUGACUCAGAGAUGCUGCAAAUGUUCGUCCCCUUCGGCAACGUCAUCUCAGCAAAYGUCUUUGUUGACCGCGCCACCAAUCAGAGCAAGUGCUUUGGUUUUGUGAGUUUUGACAACCCGUCCAGUGCUCAGACCGCAAUUCAGGCCAUGAAUGGUUUCCAGAUUGGCAUGAAGAGACUCAAGGUGCAGCUUAAGAGGCCCAAGGAUGCCAACCGACCCUACUAAAUGAGUCAAGACUGUCCUGUCCAUACAUAUAUCGUGGAGACUACGUGGCUAUGGUUGCCUAGCAACCGCUAAACCCCCCUUCCUCUCACAGCGUUGGAAGAUAUGAGUUCUAUCAAGAAACUACUUCCAGCAUUUUGGUUUCGCCCCAAACCGUAUAGCAAAGGAGCAACAACACUUCUCGAAAAAUAAGAUAAAAUAUACAGUGGGCUCCAAAAUUACUGGCACCCCUGACUGGCAAUGCACAAACAA